Molecule: non-coding RNA, 49 nt
Filed under: Trichobilharzia regenti
Lineage: Eukaryota; Metazoa; Platyhelminthes; Trematoda; Strigeidida; Schistosomatidae
Source: RNAcentral
GUACUGAUGAAGAGUCCCAAAGGGCUGGGACGAAACAGCUGUCCAGUAC